Molecule: ribosomal RNA, 803 nt
Filed under: uncultured bacterium
Lineage: Bacteria
Description: bacterial SSU rRNA
Rfam family: Bacterial small subunit ribosomal RNA
Source: RNAcentral
AGAGUUUGAUCCUGGCUCAGGACGAACGCUGGCGGCGUGCCUAACACAUGCAAGUGGAGCGACGGAUCCGGGUUUUGGCCUGGGGCAAAGCCGCGAACGGGUGAGUAACACGUGGGUAACCUGCCCGGAUGAUCGGGACAACCCGAGGAAACUCGGGCUAAUACGGAAUGUGCCCUCCGGCCACAAGGGCCGCGGGGAAAGGAAGCUUCGGCCUCCGCAUCGGGAUGGGCCCGCGGCCCAUUAGCUUGUUGGUGAGGUAAUGGCUCACCAAGGCUACGAUGGGUAGCUGGUCUGAGAAGACGAUCAGCCACACUGGGACUGAGACACGGCCCAGACUCCUACGGCAGGCAGCAGUGGGGAAUCUUGCGCAAUGCGCGAAAGCGUGACGCAGCAACGCCGCGUGGGGGAAGACGGCCUUCGGGUUGUAAACCCCUUUCAGUUGGGACGAAGCUCUGCCGGUGAACAGCUGGUUGGAGUAACGGUACCUUCAGAAGAAGCCCCGGCUAACUACGUGCCAGCAGCCGCGGUAAUACGUAGGGGGCAAGCGUUGUCCGGAAUCAUUGGGCGUAAAGAGCGUGUAGGCGGCUCGAUAAGUCUGCUGUGAAAGUCCAGGGCUCAACCCUGGAAAGCCGGUGGAAACUGUCGGGCUAGAGUCCGGAAGAGGCGAGUGGAAUUCCUGGUGUAGCGGUGAAAUGCGCAGAUAUCAGGAGGAACACCAAUGGCGAAGGCAGCUCGCUGGGACGGUACUGACGCUGAGACGCGAAAGCGUGGGGAGCAAACAGGAUUAGAUACCCUGGUAGUCC